Molecule: long non-coding RNA, 1832 nt
Organism: Propithecus coquereli (Coquerel's sifaka)
Lineage: Eukaryota; Metazoa; Chordata; Mammalia; Primates; Indriidae
Exons: 3
Source: RefSeq, a predicted model, not a curated record
UCCCAGUAAAUGAGGCAAGCAAUUCUAAGAUCUUCCACAAACAUCUAGCCAUCUAAAAUGGAGAGAUGAAUCGUUCUGCCUAUACAAACUAGCUGUUAGAGGGUGGUUGGGUAUGCUACUUCUAGGAUUUCAGGGUGUCUUCAAACUGAAAUCAAAAUGUUCUCAGUAUGAAAAACCUGAGAUCAAAUGCCUAUGUAAGGAAAGUGCUAUUCACCCAGUAAACCCAAAACAAAUGGAUAAUGCUGGCCAUAUUUUGCCUUUCUGACAUUUCCUUGGGAAUCUGCAAGAACCUCCCCUUUCCCCUCCCCCAGUAAGACCAUUUAAGUGUGUGUUAAACAACUACAGAAUACUAAAUAAAAAGUUUGGCCAAAACCAACCAUGAAGCUGCAAAGGGUGCUUGCUCUUACUGUUUCAAAUUUUUGCAACUCUGUAGUGUCUCACUUUUAAAGGAACAGCUUGAUUGCAAAGGAGAAAAUAGAUAAGCAAUGAAGUUAUCUCCAACUUCCUAAAGGCUUAUGACUUCUAAAAAGUGAAUCUAUCAGCAUUCCACAUCAGAUUUAAAGCAUCAAAUGCCUGUGAAACAGCAAAGAUGGUUGAGAAUUACAGUCAUGGAGUGCUGAUUUAUUCACGGUAGAUAAAGAUGGCAGCAAGAGAAAUCAAAUGCUAAGAGUUGUUGAAGCAGAAGAAUGCUGAUUUGUCGAUAAGUCACAACAGUUGCAUAAGCAGUGCUGUCAGACUUGGUUUGGUGCAGGCAAUAGAUUUUGCCUUCAAGGGUUCCUGUGGAUCUGAAGAGGGCCUCAGUGUUGGUUAACACUCUUAACCAGGGAGUGGUAGUUACUUAAAAUAAGUAAUUGACCAAAUGGAGAAAGGGAAGCAGUUAAGGAAAUUGGUAAGUGAAGAUAGGAAGUUCUUGCGGUUUUUCACAUAGAUUUUACAGCUUUGGCUUUCAUUUUGUUUAGCUAAAGUAUAGGGGCAACUCUGCAAUUUAGAACUUAAUUUGAAUUGGAAAAAUGAUGGACAUAAGUGGUAACUCCUUAUCCAGUAAAGUGUCUGAUUUUCAGCAAGUGAAACAUCUUGUGAUAGUUUAUCCAGAAACAGGGUUUAGUUGUAAAAAAGAGGGAGUGACUUCCGGAAACAAAAGUAACAACUAGAAACCUUGCUAAGAUAGAAAGCACACUUAAAACUGGAGGCAAAACUAGGCCACUUGGCUUUGUUGUACUGUAUUGUUUUGUAAGCCUACUUUACCCUCCCACCUCUCAAUCCUGGAAACAAAUUAUGAUACAACUUUACUUUAUUACUUGGAGAUGAGAGCCAAUAGUAUAAUUGCCAGUGUUCUCAAAGGAAACAGAUUUGAGUUGUUGGGUUAGAGGAACUAACUCAACUUAGGAGAUUUUUGUGUGUGUAAUUAUGGCACUACUAUCAUGUUUAACAUUUGCAGUUGGGGAAAAUGAUCCAAAAAUUUUAACCCUCAUUCGACAGACUUUUCUAAUCACAGACCAUGAGGGUAUUAACCAAAUUCAUAUAGUUGUUGCACUUCCAUAGCUGUCUUAGUUCAGUCCUUUCAUACUCUAAUUACUUUGAUUAAUGCUUCUGUGAGGACAUUUUGGCUCUUGAGAUUUUGUUUAGCCUUAAAAUCGUGUAGAAUAUAGAGAUUAAAUAGUAAAUCUGAAUUCCAAAUUCAAAGUAAGAAGUAUGCUUAAAUGACCAGGUACUUGUUGGACAAAUAGUUUAUUUACCUAGCAGGCUUGUGGAAAAAGAAUCGCUCUUGAUUCUUCUGGCUUUAUACUGGUUGUAAAGGAAACAGAAUGAUACAGAAAUGUUUUCCUUGUUUA